This is a long non-coding RNA of Oncorhynchus nerka (sockeye salmon), 484 nucleotides long. RefSeq lists it as uncharacterized. NCBI's taxonomy places the organism in Eukaryota, Metazoa, Chordata, Actinopteri, Salmoniformes, Salmonidae. The record is from RefSeq and is a predicted model, not a curated record. The transcript has 2 exons.
UCCUAUUUCUCUCCAUCCUUCCCACUCUUUCUCCUGUCAUAACCUCCCAUUGGUUCUACUACAGUAUUGACUGAUUCAGGCUCUGCCCUGGCUGUAUUUCUGCCUUGUCAUUGUGACUCAGCAUUCUGGAGUCUCAAGCAGAGACAGAAGAGGAAUCAAGAUGUUCCACUCCCUCAAUGGUUCUGUUUAAAUGGAAGUCAGGGACUAAGCAGACCGCUAUCACAUUGGUGUCUAUGGAGUAACCCCCCCUUAAGCAGACAGUGGUCCUGAGGCAUCAAAGCAUCUCCAAUCCAUCAUACUACCACCACUAUGCUUGACUGUUGGUAUGAUGGUCUUACUGUGGAAUGCACUGCUUGGUUUUCGCCAGACAUAAUGGGACCCAUCCAUUGUAUGGGAAUUCAUGUCAAGUCCUAAUAGGCUGAAGAUUCUGUUAUGAAUAAAAGCAUUGUGUUGGUCUACCUGGAAACAGAGAGGCUAAUUACUU